This 393-nucleotide ribosomal RNA is filed under the name uncultured bacterium. RNAcentral describes it as "partial 16S ribosomal RNA". It matches the Rfam family "Bacterial small subunit ribosomal RNA", at positions 523 to 918 of the family's 1533-position model. The record is from RNAcentral.
CUACGGAGGAUGCAAGCGUUAUCCGGAUUUAUUGGGUUUAAAGGGUGCGUAGGCGGUUUGCUAAGCGGGAGGUGAAAUGCCGGCGCUCAACGUCGGAAGUGCCUCCCGAACUGGUGGACUGGAAUGACUCUGCCGUGGGAGGAAUGUGUAGUGUAGCGGUGAAAUGCUUAGAGAUUACACAGAACACCGAUUGCGAAGGCAUCUCACGAAGGGUUGAUUGACGCUGAGGCACGAAAGCGUGGGGAUCAAACAGGAUUAGAUACCCUGGUAGUCCACGCAGUAAACGAUGAUGGCUAACCGCUGGUUUUUUCGGAUCAGUGGCCAAGCGAAAGCGAUAAGCCAUCCACCUGGGGAGUACGACCGCAAGGUUGAAACUCAAAUGAAUUGACGGGG